AAUCAACGCUGGCGGCGUGCCUAACACAUGCAAGUCGAACGCGAAAGCCCCGCAAGGGGCAAGUAGAGUGGCAAACGGGUGAGUAACACGUGGGUGACCUGCCUUCGAGCGGGGGAUAACGUCCCGAAAGGGACGCUAAUACCGCAUGACAUCCUGCCUUUGAAGAGGCGGAGAUCAAAGCUGGGGAUCGCAAGACCUAGCACUCGAAGAGGGGCCCGCGCCUGAUUAGCUAGUUGGUGGGGUAAUGGCUCACCAAGGCGACGAUCAGUAGCCGGCCUGAGAGGGCGGACGGCCACACUGGGACUGAGACACGGCCCAGACUCCUACGGGAGGCAGCAGUGGGGAAUUGUUCGCAAUGGGCGCAAGCCUGACGACGCAACGCCGCGUGGAGGACGAAGAUCUUCGGGUCGUAAACUCCUUUCGAUCGAGACGAACGGCCUCCGGGUGAACAAUCCGGAGGAGUGACGGUACCGAGAGAAGAAGCCCCGGCUAACUCCGUGCCAGCAGCCG
This 510-nucleotide ribosomal RNA is filed under the name uncultured bacterium. RNAcentral's name for it is "bacterial SSU rRNA". It matches the Rfam family "Bacterial small subunit ribosomal RNA", at positions 29 to 517 of the family's 1533-position model. The record is from RNAcentral.